Molecule: long non-coding RNA, 2315 nt
Organism: Canis lupus familiaris (dog)
Lineage: Eukaryota; Metazoa; Chordata; Mammalia; Carnivora; Canidae
Exons: 5
Source: RefSeq, a predicted model, not a curated record
AAAUCCUUGGCAACUUCCAAUCCUAGCUGGAAAAAGUCCAUGCAGCCUCUGCCAGUGUCUCCUGAGGCAGUCACUCUGAGAGUUUUGCCUCCUGUAAGAAGUUCAUCUAUCUGGUGUCCACCACUUAGAAAGACCACAUCGAGAUACCAAAUUGAGAAAGUGCUAAAAACUCACGCAAGGAGCUUCCUUUGUACCUAGAUCUGAUUUAGAUGAAAACAUUUGCUGACUCCUGAGAUCACUGAAGAUCUCUUUCUUAAGGAAUUCAUAAAAUAUCAUAAAUAGGAAUUACAGACAGACAGUUCCUCGGAGAGGUGAGUAGUUCCACUGCUUGAGGAAGCAUGAGAACCUAUUUUGGAGGGCAUCGACUUCCUUUCGGUAUUGUUACCAGGAGACCUGGUCCCAGUGAAAGAGCUACGGAGUCACCGGUCACCUCAGCUCCCAGGUGAUGUAGGUCACUUUUGCAGGUAUUGAUUGCACAUCUGUCUACAGGUGUGGGCAGUGCUCUUCCCCAAGAAAGGAAUUGUGGGCCUGUGACUGGUAUGGCUGUAAAGUGAGUGAAGAGAUGACCCUGGGCUUGAUGAUGUACCUUGGUGAGAAUCAACUGAACAUCACCUCAAACUGCUGUGUGGCUUCUGGUUUUUCAGUCAAGUUUCUUCUCUUUCCCUGUUUUCAGUAGUCACAUACAUAAAGGGCAGUGAAAUGCCAACCUGACCUAACUGAAAGUCCUGGAGGUAUGAAACUGUAAAAGAAGAUAAUAGACAUAUGUGGAGCUGACUGGAAGCCCUUGAUAGCAUACUUCACGUUCCUGUUUAACCUUUUAACUAGAAAAAUGCACUCGUUGAGUAGAAACGUCUGCUAGGAAAAAAGAAAAAAAGAAAGGAAGGAAAGAAGGAAGGAAGGAAGGAAGGAAGGAAGGAAGGAAGGAAGGAAGGAAGGAAGGAAUUCUGUUUCAAAUCCUUUGGGCAUAUUUUUAGUUUUGUACCAUGUCAAUGCAUUGCUUCAUUAAAGAAAUCACAGACCCUAGAGGUGGAAAGUUCCUUAGAGAUACUUUGUCAAGAUUUGGACUCAUACAGGAGUCUUCUGUGUAAGUACUAAGAUUCUCUACAGACAAUGUGGUCCCUUCUUGCCUGGACCAGAGCUUCUCAUGGCUCUGAACUUGGAGCCCCACCGCUUGGAAGGAAUGAGUAUCAGUAUUCAAAAGUAUUUAAAUAAUCCUGCUUACCCCAGUUUUAUUCAGCAAAUGUCAUCUGUAAUAAAGAAAUGGAUAUUGGCAAUUUUUUUUUCACAGCUACUGAAGGAUCUUGAGAGCACUUUAUGAUAAAAUACUCUUGUUGAGCCCUUGAUACCCAUAGGCCAAUGGGCUGGGUUUGUCCCAAAUGAUGCCCCAUGCCCCAAGAGCAAGGCAUUACCCCAGUUUACGUGCCUAUCCCCCAACUCCACAUAAUCAAAUGCUGAGUUUUUGAACUUUAUAACAUAGACUGAUUAGUGACCCCUUAAUUCUUGAAGGCUGGUAGAUGGUCUGUCUGCUUAAUUUUAUAGCUACCCAAAGGUUUUCAUCAGCACUCACAAGUUCAGUUUGAUCAUCCCAGCACAGCCUGAGCUUGAACUUCAGCUACAAGUGCUGAGGCGAUGGGUUCUUUGGGUCUUGUUCCUAAAGACUAGGAAGUGAGAAUGAUAGUGACUUUGUUUCCCUUGUGGGGGAAUUCUCUCCUCCGUAGUCUUGCUAACAAAUUUGUCUCCCAAACUCUGAGAUUUCAGGGGGAAAACAAAGGGCCUCCUCUGUGUACAGGAAAGCAAGUGAUGGAAACAUGCCGAGGAGAAGGAGUGACACACUCAGGGAGUGCCUGUAGCACCAUGGUGGCAUGGGAAGAAAUGGAAGGUCCAUAUUGGAGAUGAAGAAAAACUGGCCGUUACUAAGAUUUCUGCAUUCUUCUGGAGUUGUGAUCUACAAAUUCGGUGCCAUCUGUGGAAGUGACAAUCCCUGACGUGUUCAGCCUGCCCCUGCCCCUGGCAUGAGAGGAAGCUAGGGAGAAAGAGAAGUCCCAGAAUUACAGUGGCCGAGGGAGGUGGUGAUAGCUUCUGUACAUGUUUAUUUCUUCUUGUCGCUUUGCUUUUGAUUUCAAACUCAUUUGUCUUCGGGUUCCAGAUUUCUUUUCCUCAUUGUAAACUAGGUUUUGAAAUUAUUUGGCCCAUCUAUGUGCUUCUCUUAAAUGAAACGUAAAUUGGCUUUUGUUUUAAAUUUCAGGUGUUUCAGGUUUGACUCUACUACUCAUCUCCUAAGGCAGUUUAGCUAUGGCAGUGAAUUUAUUACUGCC